This 12705-nucleotide long non-coding RNA is filed under the name Malus domestica (apple). Its description in RNAcentral is "long non-coding RNA (MDOM_LNC013721)". Lineage: Eukaryota; Viridiplantae; Streptophyta; Magnoliopsida; Rosales; Rosaceae. The record is from RNAcentral.
GCGGCAUGGUUGAGAACAAAUGGUUAGCAACGUGAGUGUCUGUGAUGUUGUGGAAACCUUGUUCAGGAUUCCGUAGUCUCUGUCAACGGUGGCCAAAGCUCCCCUAAACCAGUCCCAUUCGGAGGUCAUAGUGCGGCAAUGCGGGUGAGUGUGCUGCAAGUAUGUGAUCAACACCAAAUAUCCGUUAACUACCAUUAGAGGACCUCUGUAGAAGCAUAUAACCCAAGCAAGUCCCUUUGCAACAGCAAGAUGGUAAAGCCCAUAUAAGACAGCAAGAACACCAAUAUCGGACACAAAUAUCUGCAAUCGUUCGCGAUGAGAGAAUAUUGGGCCAUAUGAUAGUGGCACGGAAAUCCUUUGUAGGGCCUUCCGGAAAGGUUGAAUGCGAGAUACAGAGGCCAGCCUAGAGUGAGUUGGACGGCGAGUGUGAGGAAUCUGCCAGGUGGGUUGUUUAGAUAUUUUUCCCACCACCCUAUUGCAGAAUUUUGCUUGGGGACAAAGACUUCAUCCCACUUAAGGGAAGCUGUGUUGGAAUGGUGGCGGCGAUGGCUAUACUUCCAUCAUAAGUAUGGGACAAGAAGGCAAGAGUGGAGGAUCAAACCAAUAGUGUCAUCCAGCCAUUGGUAAUCACUGAAAGCAUGGUGACCAAACAAGAACAAAAGCUUCAAAAACUCUGACUUUAAAGUUUCACUUGAAUAUAUAACAUUUUUAUAUAAUAAUAAAUUGAUAAAAAAAAUCGUUUUUAGGGUGUUAUUACCAAAUAUCUCAUUGUACACUCCAAAUUUGUAUAUUUAGAAAGAAAGAAAUUUACAUUCCAUAAAGAGUGCACGAUGAGAUUUUAUCGUGCUAAUACAAGUAAAAUUUUAAUAUACAACAUUAUUAUAUAUAAAAAUUAAAUGACGAAAAUUUUUUAGGGCGUUUUUAAAUUUGGGCCCUGUGCGAUUGGACAUUUCACUCACCCAAAGCCACCUCUGAAUAUGCAAAUGCAAUUACCUUUGACAUAUAAAGAAUUUGCUACCAACUUAAUUAUAUGGCUUAGCUAGGAAGUAAUUAUAACUAAUUAGGGUUUAGGGUAAAAAUAGGAACCCUUGACAUAUAUAGAAUAUGCUACCAACUUAAUUAUAUGGCAUAGUUAGGAAGGAAUUAUAACUAAUUAGGGUUUAGGGUAAAAAUAGGAUAUAUAUAUAUAUAUAUAUAUAUAUAUAUAUUCAAGUUUGGAAUUUCCACAAUUUCUCAAUCAAAAGUUUCUUUGAGUUCACACUGUACCCAAAGAAAUAAAUAAUUGUAAACACUUUUCAUUUUAGAAUGUCAAGAAUGCAUGCAUACACCAAUAUCCUUUUCAUCAGUCAUUUUCAUAUUUGCUGACUCAAUCGUCAGUAAAUCAAUUGAAAGUUCCGGUGUAACUUUUGCAAUAAAACUUAUUUUUAAAUUAUAUUUGCAUCAUUACUUUGAAUUCAUUAUUUUCAUUAUGAAGAAUAUUUUCAUAACAAUUGAUUUUGAAUGGCAUAAAAUUCUUACUCACAGUCAAUUCAUUGAAUACCUCAAGUUCAAGGUAAAUACCGAUCAAUCAUUUGUUCAAUUCUUUCUAUUUGUUUAUAAUAGUUGGUUUCAUGGCAUUUUUAAUCUUGAUUAUCCUCCACAUCAAGUUCCACAUAAUUCAAUUAACAAUUCAUUUAACAGUUCAUUCAACCCUAAUCAUCAUUGCCCUUGGUAUAAUUUUCCUCAUCGUUAUUAUUAUUAGAAAUUCGCUCACAUCUCAAUAGUAUCCAAACACAAGCACUCCUUGGCAAUAAUGAUGAAGAACACAAUAGUUUUUCCUCCGACCAAGAGUCAGAAUCCAACAACUCUUACCAAAAAUUGGUAUCCAAGGUCAACACCUCCGGAUAUUCAAUUUGAAGAAAGAAACAUCCAAAAUCAAUUCUUAGUCUCAGCUAAAAAACUCUAUGAAUGGAACAUAGAUGGAUUAUCAGAACAAGAACUUUUGAAUAAAUUACAACACAUCUCCAUGGUUGCUAAUAGUUAUAUUAGCAAUCAUAACCUUAGUCAAACACAAGUUGUCGACAUUUUGGUCACUGAAUUUACUGGAAUGCUCCAUUCUUGGUGGGAAAAACAUCUCACUAAACAAUCCAGAAAUGAAAUUAAAAAUGCAGUCAAAAGAGAUGAAGAUGGAACACCCAUCUUUGAUGAGCAUAUAGGACGAGGAGUCCCAGAUGCAAUCAAUGUUGGAAAUUUGCCCUAAAACCAAUCAUAUGAUGAUACUUUACGGACAUUUCACAUGUUAAACUAAUAUAGUUUAAUUUAAAAAGCAAAUAUUAUUGUUUGAAGUCGUCUCAUAUAAAUGUUAUACGCUUAAACGAUAAGUCCAAGUAAUAUGUAAUUGAGAGAAUGCAAUCUAAAGAAGUUAGAUUCAUGAGAACAUUCUCUUUCGUAUACACAUCCUAAACGUUCCUGAUCAUAGGAUUGCUAAUUGGGCAUUGACAGUUCGUUAAGAUCAGUACGUGCUACGUCUUCUCUUAGGGAGAGUGACUGGUCUCGAGUCAUUGGUGUGACUGACACCAAGAUAAGUGCGUAGGUGCUCAAUAGAGAAUGAGUUCACUGAACGCGAUCAACAAGGAGUUCUAAUACUUAUGUCACAUGAGAACUCAUGGUUAGGAUAAUGCAAAGUAGUCAUUUGACCAGAGGCAUCAUAGUUGUCUUGUGGUUAGGUCAUUGAUCUUUGACUAUGUCAAAGUCACUCCAUCCGAGGGUGUCCACGACAUAGUUGGGGUUAAGCCACUUGGCCAUGAAGUCAAGUGAAUGCGCAACAAGGGAUCUCUAACCCUCAAACUGUUUGAGGUAGAAUACUCUAUGAUAUGAUUAAGAAUCACUGGCCAGAGUAUGAAUGACAUUUAGGAAGUCGUUCCAAAUAACAUUCAAGGUAAUCAUAUAAGUAAAUGAAUCACAUUGGAUAGUAGACAUGAAUAAACUAUCAAACCAAACAAUGUGGUCAAGAGUAUUGUAUUAGAGAAAGACCAUAUUACAUUGUAAUCAUAAACUGAAUAGGUUCUCCACCUCUUCUGAUUAGCUUGGGUAACCAUGACAUACUGCUAGGUGUCACUCAGGGUUUGUGGAAGCCCUAAACGUGUAUAAUCACUAAAGGGAGAAUUACUUUCAAUUCACAAUCGAUUUGAAAGAGUUAUAAUCGCUCACUGCCUCGCUAAAAGGAACCUAAUGGAUCGCACACCGUGUAAGGUAAUGCUUGAAGGAUUUGACAGAGAUGAGUAAGGACAAUUAAAUGGUUUAAUUGUUUAUGGCAAGAAUUAAUUAAUAUGUUAAUUAAUCAAACGAAUAAGUUCGUUUUAAACAUUGAGUUAGUUUUGGGCCUUAAAGCCCAAAUUGGGCUUCGAAUCGUCAAGCCCAUUAGCUGAAGUUGUAUGACAACUUAACAAGUAAAAUUCAAGAAGCCCAAAACAGCCCAAAGGCUUGGGAAAACCGGCCAUAGAGAGAGGUAGGGGUGGGCACGAUUUGGUUCAGUGCGGUUUUGAGUGAAACCAAAAUCGAAACCACAUUUUUUUGCGGUUUGGUUCGGUGCGGUUUUGAAGCCAAAACCGAAAUGAAACCAAACCGUUCGGUUCGGUUCGGUUCGGUGCGGUUUUAAACGGUUUCGGUUUGGUUUUUAAGAAAAAAUGUACAAUUUGCAAUUUAACAUAUUAAUAAGCAUUUCCCAGUAGCAAUAUGAAAAAGACAUUUGUUAUAUAAACAAUUAGCAUGUUGCAUGUAGUUGUGAUGUUAAAAUAUGUUUGUGCAACAAAAGGGUGUCCCGUACAAGGUAUAACAUAAAACAAGUUGAAUAACUUUGAAUUCAUUAAACAUGAGCAAAACUUUCAUACUAGAAUAUGUGAUAUCAUGCUUCAAAUGAGUGGACUUCAUUAGAUCAUUGUUCGACUCUUGAUAACAAGAUUAGUCCACCCUUGUACAUAUGUGUGUGUGUGUGUGUGAUGGUAUAAAAUAACAAAGGUCCUUCAAGUUAAUGAACGAAAGAAAAUGAUGAAUGAUGAUAUUUUAGUGUGGUUGUGUCCAUACUAAGUGUAUGGAUUCUAACAAACAACCAAUUAAAACAUGAAAUUUAAUAUGGACAUUUAAUUAAAUGUUUAUUAAUAUUUGCGGUGCAGUUCGGUUUCGGUGCGGUUUUCAAAAGCCAAAACUGAAACCAAACCGUUUUCUAUGUUGCGGUUCGGUUUCAAAACCGAAACCGUUCCAAAACCGCAAAACCAAACCGUUCGGUGCGGUUCGAUUUGGUUCGUGUUUCGGUUUCGGUUUUCGGUUCUAAGUGCCCACCCCUAGAGAAAGGAAGGGCCUUUUGGUCCAAAAUGCAUACAAAAGUUGAAAGCAUAGAAGGGGUAUCUUUUGCUCCAUCCUCAUUAGGGUUUUCUAAGGAUGAAAAGUGAGAAAAACUCUUUCUCUUUUCUCUCUAGAAUAGCCGGCCACCAUGGGAGAGUUUACUAGCAUCUAACUCUUCCAUGGCCACUCAUCUUCUUCCUCAACCAUCCUUCGUGUCAGAACUUAGAGGUCUCCAAUUUUGGGGACUUUUGGAGAAACCAAUUCUUCCAUCCAUAUCCAAGAAGGCAUGGAGCCAAGAAGCAAAGUUCCUCCAUCCACAUCCAUGGAGUCAAGGAGUAAGGUGACAAAGGAAAGAAGGCCCUCACAUGGGUGAUUAACCUUUGCUAAGCAAAUAGGUGCUUCAAAGGUAUAAAGUUUCUCAACUCACUUUGUUUUGAGUUGAGUCUUGGUUCACCCUUCUACUAGCCUUUGAAUUUCAUGGGUAAUGUUUUGUUUUUGAGUGCAUAUAAGCAUGAUUCAGCCUUUAAAUGUUAAUUGCAUGGCAUAGAUGUUGCUCAAAUGAACAUGUUUUUUCACAAAAUUUCCUUCAAUUAACACAUUACUUUUCACCAUUAGAACAUUUUCACCAUUAUAAUUUCACAUUACUCAUUAAGAAUUUCAUAGGGACACCCAGUAAUGUUACCUCUAGAAUUCAUGACCAACUUAGUAACUUAAGAUGUCCGACCCUAAGCAAUUUUAGAUGGUACAAAAAUGUUUUCAUGUCUAGAGUCGUGCUUAGAGAGGAUAGUAAUCAACCAUUUUGAAAAGAAAAAAUCAUUUAACGGAUUACCAAAUCUAUUUGCCCAUAAAAUUAGAAAUGUUUUAGUUAAUGAAGAAGGUAUCAUACCAUAUUAUACUCUUACUUAUGCAAAUAUUAUUAAUAUUAUCCAGAAAGAAGGAUUGAAAAUGUGUAUUGAUAUGAAAAUUACAAAACAAGUCAACAAAGAAAAGUCAAUAGCCAAAUAUGAAUUAGGAACAUUUUGUGCACAAUAUGGAUUAUCUCCUAUUGCUCCAUCCAACAAAAAGAAAAAAUCAAAAGCCUACAAUAGGUUCCCAAAUAAGUACUCAAGUAGGAGACAUCCCAAAUAUAAAAAUAAGAAUUUUGAAACAAAUAAAUUUUACAAGAAACCCAUGCCCAACAAGUGGAAGAGGAAAACCUCAGGAAAAUUCCACUCCAAAAACCAAGAACGAAAAGAAAAUUGCUACAAGUGUGGCAAAUUCGGUCAUUAUGCAAAUAAAUGUAGAGUCAAGAAAAUAAUCAACCAGUUGAAAAUCUCUGAGGAAGAGAAAACCCAGUUAAUCCAGGUCUUAGAAUUAAGAGACACAGACCAUAGUCAAUUCGAAGAUGAUUUAAGUUCUAAUUCAUCUUCUUCCAAUAAUUCCUCAAGUAGUCUUUCAUCCCCCAACAAUAAAAUAGGAUGCACUGAUACUUGUUGUAAAAAUAUUUCAGUCCUCAAUAAACAAGAAGAACAAGAAGAUCUUCUUAUUGAAUUAAUCAACAAAGUAGAUGACCCUGAAUUAAAGUCAUUUUAUUUAAAAAAACUUAAGAAAUUAGUCUUCCCUGAAGAAGCCAGUACUAGUCAAUCCCAAGAAGCCCCAAAAAUAUGUCUUAGCACAACCCUAGAAAGGUUUAAUAGGGCUAAGAAAGAAAUUACAGUCAAAGAUUUACAAAGAGAAAUCAAUAAAAUUAAGGAAGAAAUUAAGUCCUUAAAAUCAGAAAUAUAGAAAUUCGCUCACAUCUCAGAAGUAUCCAAACACAAGCACUCCUUGGCAAUAAUGAUGAAGAACACAAUAGUUCUUCCUCCGACCAAGAGUCAGAAUCCAAAUCCAUAGAAAACCCAACAUAACAUCUAAUUUUAGGAUUACUACAAAAGAUUAAGAUCCAGAAAUGGUAUUCUAAAAUAAAAAUAAUAAUGGAAGACUUACAGUUAGAAACAAUUGCCUUAAUUGACUCAGGUGCAGACUUGAAUUGUAUCUAAGAAGGUUUAAUUCCCACUAAGUAGUUUCAUAAAUCAACAGAAAUUCUUAGUGCUGCAAAUUAGUUACCGAUGCAAUUAAAAUAUGAAAUCCCAAAAGCCCAUGUUUGUCAAAACAAUGUUUGCUUUAAAACUCCAUUUGUUUUGAUAAAAAAUAUUUCAGACCCAGUCAUUCUAGGUCACCCCUUCAUAGCUCUCCUAUAUCCUUUUAAGGUACACCAUAAUCGUAUAACCACCAGAAUGUUAGGACAAAAAAAAUCACAUUUGAGUUCUACACGAAAACAGAUCUCAAAAAAUUAAGACAAUUACAAAAAGAUAGCAUCUCAAAAACCAUCAAUUUAGUUACCAAAAAAUCACAACAAAUUAAUAUCUUAAAAGAAGAAAUUAAUUACAAAAGAAUUGAAGAACAAUUAACAAACAAAUCUUUGUUAUAAAGCAUUGACAAUUUUCAAAAGAAACUUGUUAAUGAAAUUUGUUCGGAUAUUCCCGAUGCCCUUUGACACAGAAAACAACACAUUGUUAAACUUCCUUACAAUAAGGAAUUUAAUGAAAAUAAAAUACCAACAAAAGCCAGACGAAUCCAAAUGAGUCAAGAAGUUAUGGAAUUCUGCAAAAAAAAAAUCCAAGAACUUCUCAAUAAAGGAAUAUUAGAAAAAGCAAAUCACCCUGGUCUUGUCCUAGUUUUUCUGUCUAGAAAAAUGCUAAAUUAGAAAGAGGAACUCCCAGGUUAGUCAUUAGUUACAAACCUCUUAAUGAAUUCUUGGAAUGGAUACGGUAUCCAAUUCCCAACAAAAGAGAUUUAAUUAAGAGACUUAAUCAAGCUGUAAUUUCUCAAAAUUUGACAUGAAGUCUGGAUUUUGGAAAAUUUAAAUUCAUGAGGAUGAUAAAUACAAAACAGCAUUUGUCACUCCUUUUGGUCAUUAUGAAUGGAAUGUAAUGCCAUUCGGUCUUAAGAAGCACCCAGUGACUUUCAGAAUAUCAUGAACAAAAUAUUUAAUCAAUACAAUCAUUUUUCAAUUGUUUAUAUUGAUGAUGUUCUCAUUUAUUCCAAAUCGAUAGAUGAGUAUUGGAAACACUUAAACAUGUUUGUUAGGAUAAUUAAAUCGAGCAACAUUAGUCAAUCAAUAUGACUCUUAUUCAACCCCAACAUACCAGUAAUCAUCAUCCCAACUAGUCAGUUAUACCAAAACAUCAUCAUAUGUCAAGAAAAACCCCAGUGAAUAUCUUUUUAGUAUCCCUUUCAAUCUCAAUCAAGAACAAGUACCAAAAAAAUUAGCCAAAACAGUCUUUCCACCCAAUUUCCAUUAUCAUCCUACACAACCACAUAAAGCACUAAAAUACUAUCAAGUCAUCCUCAACGAAACUGAGUCCAUUUCAAUCAAACCUCUCUACAGCAAAACCCAUGAAAACAAAAUCCUCUACCAUUCUCUUUACAUUGGAAGGUUUUUAACUGAAUCAGAUUGGGGAAUCCCCAUUUACAAAACCAAACCUCUUCAUACCCAAUAUAUUCAUAUUCCCAACAACCAUUACAAUUAUUUUGAUUACAUUGAUGCAUGGACUAACAUCUUUCUCCAUAAAACAGAAGAUUUUAGUCAUUCAUGGUUCAUUAAUUUUGACAAGAGUUUCAGAUUGAAUUUUCCUGCAUGGUUUCCAAAUGGUGGUCAACUCACGACCUAACAGCCAGUCUCCUACCAGAAAAACUUAUGCAGGUUCUCUUUGCCAGUUUCCAACAAAAAUUUGACAGAAGCCGAUUCAACUACAGAAUUACACUUCUCCCAAUAUUCAUGGCCAAGUACAAAGUCUCAUGGAUCUUGAAGUGGAAUUAUGAAGUCGAAACAUGUGAAGUUUACAGAGCCAGAUCAGUCAAGUGGUGGGAUAAAUUCAACCAUCAGAAGACCAUCAAUCAGGUCAUCAUCGAAUUUCCUAUUACUCCACUCCCAAUCAUUCCGGCACAACCAACACAGCCAUCACUGCCAAUCAUUCCAAAACAAUCAUUAUCAGACAUUAGUCCAUCUUUGUCCCUCAAAGGAACGGUCAAAUCUACCAAAUCGUCAGGCUCAAAGAAAAAUAAAGUUACUCAACUUGAAGAUUUAGCACAACAAUUACUUGCAGAAGCAGCGAUGCUCAAUACUAAAGAAGAAGAAGUCGCAGACUCCGAAUCUUCAAACGCAGCCUCAUAGCAACCAUCCAACUCAGCAAGCCAAAAAAUACAGUCAGCUAAGUGGACCGACUACUAGGAUUCCCAGGACCCAUUUGAUUAAAAACCAUGUGAAAACAUCAGUCAUCAUGUCAAGUCACCAUGUGAACACAGUCAUUUGCCGUGUGAAGCAUUCAGAAAUUAUUCUCACCAAUGAUUCUGACAAAGUUUGGAGUCAUUCAUUCAUUCAUCCAUCCCAUGCUUCCACAAUAUUGGCAACAAAUAUUCUUCCACAGUAAAAGCAACAAUUAUUCCAACAAAUUUCACUGUUCAUAAAUAGUGAAAGCAAGUCAUCAUUCAAAGUCAUUAUUCAUCAAUAGUAAAAGUAAGUCUUCCAAGACCUUUUCCAAGUCUUUAAGAAGUGAACUACGGAUGAGAAGGUUUCAAGUUUGGAAUUUCCACAAUUUCUCAAUCAAAAGUUUCUUUGAGUUCACACUGUACCCAAAGAAACAAAAAAUUGUAAACAUUUUCAUUUUAGAAUGUCAAAGAUGCCUGCGUGCACCAAUAUCCUUUUCAUUAGUCAUUUUCUUAUUUGCUGAAUCAAUUGUAAGUUCCGGUGUAAGUUUUGCAAUAAAACUUAUUUUUAAAUUAUAUUUGCAUCAUUACUUUGAAUUCAUUAUUUUUAUUAUGAAGAAUAUUUUCAUAACAACUGAUUUUAAAUGGCAUAAAAUUCUUACUCAUAGUCAAUUCAUCAAAUACCUCAAGUUCAAGGUAAACACCGAUCAAUUAUUUGUUCAAUUCUUUCUAUUUGUUUAUAGUAGUUGGUUUCAUGGCAUUUUUAAUCGUGGUUAUCCUCCACAUCAAGUUCCAUAUAAUUCAAUUAACAAUUCAUUUAACAGUUCAUUCAACCCUAAUCAUCAUUGCCCUUGGUAUAUACAUACAUACAUACAUACAUAGGACUCAUUGAGAUUGAAAUUUGAUGUUAACAAUUUGAUUCAAUUUUAUAUUGGGAUACUUUUGAAGGAUAUUAUGUAGGCUUAGGGUUUUCUUGUAAGAAUUUGAUUCAUAAUUAGGUCUUUAUAUACACAGCUCUUGUAAUUCAGUAGAUGAAAAUGAAGUGUUGACAAUAUGCAGUUGUUUUAUUGUGCAUUCAUCUUAGCGAUCUGGAGUAUUCUUUGUUCUUUGAGAGCAAGUCAUUUGUUUUAGGAGGGCAAGGCAAGGCAAGGGCAAUAAAAUUGAUCUUACUAUUCACUCUGAAUAGUAAUUGCUCUUGUGCAAGUCCAUCCGCUUGUAAAGGACAAGGGCAAGCAGUAUUCACAAAUAAAUAUUUUUAAUUUUUUAUGGUUGUAAGUUUGUUCCAUAAAAAUAAAAUGAUUGUCUAAUUUCAAUAAUAUAUUUCAUAUACAAAGAAUGAAGAAGAUGGUUGGGUAUUUAUAGAAAAAAAAAAAUUGUAUAUUUUUGGGGGUUUUUUUUUAUAAUUUUUUUUUACAUUAGAAUAAUCAUGGUCGUUGAAUUUCAAAAUUAUUUACGUUGGAUGCUUCAGAUUAUGCCAUGUGGCUGCUACAGAAAAAUGUGAAUUUUUUUACCGUUAAAAAUCCAACAAUCCAAAUCAAAUUACCCUUUGAAAAUCUGACGACUCAACUUGGUGGGAAAAUGAGCGAUUUGGCUUUGGGCUUUGCACGUGGAUGGGCCCCACUCACUCAAUUAUUGUAGCCAACAGGGGCAAGCCCAGGUAGAAGUUGCUGGGUCAAGCCCAGGCAGAAGUUGCAGGGGCAAUGGAAAGGGCAUAAGCCUUUAGCCCAAUUCCCUUUAUUUUUUGCAUCCAGAAACCACCUUUUUGGGGGCUAAGGACAAUUCAACCCAGUUGCCCUAUCAAUUGGAUUACCAAUGGACUUGCUCUUAUGUAAAUAAUAAGAAUUAAGAUUGCAAUUAGUUUUCUCUUCUUUUCACUUUCUUGGAUUUGUUAACACACAAUUUGAAGAAAUAUGGAACAUUCAUGUCAAUAAACUACUCUCUGUCAUUUCAUAAUAGAAAAGAAAAACCUACUCUUUUAGCUAGUUCUUCACCAUUAGAGUACGUAAACACCUAUUUUUAAAAGGAUAAUGCUAAGGAGACUAAAUUUCUAAAAUAAAUUUGCAAACUAAAUGAUGUGUCACCAACAGAAAUGAACACGUUCAUCAAUGCUUGAGUAAUAAACCAAUUAUCAGCUUUCAUGUCCUUUAGUUUUCAAAAUUUAAUCUAUAAAUUUAGUAUCCAUAGCAUUACUCUUUUUAGAUAAAAGCCGCUUUAGACAACGUUUAAUGAUAAUAGGCCUAGAAUAGGACAAAGACUGAUUGGGCUACCCGAACUAACCCAUUUAAUUUGUUUUCUGUUUUUACUUGUUGGUUGAGUCUAAAAUUUUUUCGGUUUAUCUCAGAUGUACAAAGUCCACUUAUCCACAAUCUUAGCUUGUUUAUUCUUUUUUUGUCUCCUUUAUUAAAAGGAAGGAAUUGAACUCGUGACUUCGGAUGCAGAGAAUAAUCUGAAACAACUGGGUUACAAGCUCCUUGUACGUUUGUUCUAUGUGAACACAAAAAACUUGGAGAUCUUUUACUCGCUUGUUAAAAAAAUAUGAUAAAUCAUACAUUCAGCUUGCUAGAAUGUAGACCAAGAAGUCCUUAGCCACUUUCAAUGAAGUAGAAACGAUGAACAUAAUGGACAAAGUCUGUCUGUGGCUGAGCAGAAUCCUUGCGUUAUCGUUUCAGUGUUUCCUUAGCCUCCCAUCCUUCACGGAUUCAUGAUGGCAGAUAAUUUAGGAUCACAAAAAAUGCAAUGUGAGUUACUCAGCUGGUUAACGCAAUGUGUGUGUGUUCGCCUUUUCGGGCCAAGUCGAUCAACCAUUUCGAAUUCACAUCUUUAAGUAUGUUAUAAUAAAAGGUUUUUUUAUUCAUUAAGAUUAAGAAAACCUUAUAUUUUAGCGUUGCAAAGUUAGGUGUAUUUUUUUGUCCAAUACCAAACUGAAUAUCUUAAAUCGACAAAAAAACUCAUAUUCUCCAGGAAAAGAGACUCAUUUUUUUAUGGAAAAGGAUCCGGCGCCCAUAUGCUUUUCUUAGGGAUCCCGAGAAUCUCGUGAUCGUUCAUCGUAUAUUGUACGGUCAGUUUUCGUUAGGUACUAUUUAUAUUUAAUUUUAAAUGAUUUCUGACUGUAUGAUAUACGAUAAACAAUCAUGAUCACAAUGAUGGAACUCUAAGAAAAUGAUCCAGCAAGAAUCAUUUUCCCCUUUUUAUGGCCAAUAAAAAGCCACCGUGACAGCCUAAUGUACUUUGGAUUAGACAAGCAGGUUAUGUUUUGGCUUAGGCUUUUAGAUUAGGCACUUUGCACGCUUUCGGCUAACGAGAAAAGCCAUCCUUCACGGGCAGCCUAAUUUACUUUAGAUUAGGGAAAGCAGGUUAGUUUUGGAUUAGGCUUUCAGAUUAAGCACUAUGCACGCAUUGUGCUUAAGAGAAAAGCACAUAACAGAUAGCAUCCUCUUGUGUUUUAACUUCAACGACAAUUAGAGAAGCAAAAAUUAUUGAAAAAUCACUUAUAUUGAUAUAAGAUUAUUCUUGUACCAAACAACCAGGACAUCUUCAACAUAAGUUAAGGGAACCCCAGAUCCAUUACACGAACCUAAAACUCUCACUUGAAUACCUUUCAAAAUCAAAGCUUAUUAUUGUACCAGAAGACACCUUUCUCGUCACCCUCGUCAGGCUCGACGUAGAUACACUCCUUCACCUCCCUAAACAUUGCCUUGUAAACCGGAGUCCCGUCAAACUGAUAGUACUCGCCCAAGAUCGGCUUGAUCACCUUGGUCGCCUCCAUUGCGUGAUAGUGCGGCAUGGUUGAGAACAAAUGGUGAGCAACAUGAGUGUCUGUGAUGUUGUGGAAGACCUUGUUCAGGAUUCCGUAGUCUCUGUCAACGGUGGCCAAAGCUCCCCUGAACCAGUCCCAUUCGGAGGAAUCAUAGUGCGGCAAUGCAGGGUGAGUGUGCUGCAAGUAAGUGAUUAACACCAAAUAUCCGUUCACCACCAUUAGAGGACCUCCGUAGAAGCAUAUAACCCAAGCAAGCCCCUUGGCAACGGCAAGACGGUAAAGCCCAUAGAAGACAGCAAGAACACCAGCAUCAGACACAAAUAUCUGUAAUCGUUCGCGAUCAGAGAAGAUUGGGCCAUAUGGAUGAUAGUGGCAGGCAAAUCCUUUGUAGGGCCUUCCAG